RNAcentral lists this long non-coding RNA (392 nucleotides) under Homo sapiens (human). RNAcentral's name for it is "HSALNT0383199". The record is from RNAcentral. Lineage: Eukaryota; Metazoa; Chordata; Mammalia; Primates; Hominidae.
AGUGCACAUGAAGGAUUGAGUAUUGCUCCAAAUAACCAGACCAACAAGUUGGAGUUUUGUGACAAGUUCUGACAAUGGCCUGAGUAAAAAUGAUAUCUGUACCUUCUGAGACAAAAUAUUUUGUGCUAAAGCAAAAUCCUCCAGAACUCCCUUCCUCUUCAGGGGCAACAGAUGCUCCCAGGUGAAUGCUGCUAUCAACCCCAUUUUACAACGUGGAAACUGAAGAAUUGAGAUAGUAACUGCACCAAGAUCUCACAACUGGGGUAAAAAUCCAUGCAGCAUGGCCCUAGAUGAACAUAAUCUGAAAGACUGGGCUCCACGCCUCAAGGUUGGGACAGAGAGCGAGUCUCCUUGCUCAGGUUUUAUCUCUUGUUAGUUAGAUGCCAAAUACA